RNAcentral lists this long non-coding RNA (969 nucleotides) under Mytilus galloprovincialis (Mediterranean mussel). Lineage: Eukaryota; Metazoa; Mollusca; Bivalvia; Mytilida; Mytilidae. The record is from RNAcentral.
UGAAAUAUUGUUAUACAUUUAUUGUAAUACAAUUAAGUAUUUGUGCAAAUAUCUGAUGGGCAAUGCAGCCUGUAAAAUGAAAGCAUACUUUUUUUUACUAAUUAGCUUAAAAUUUGAGAUCACUUUCUUUAAUUUGUUGGUUUAAUGCACAGCAAUUUGAACACAUCAUUUGAUUUUAUAAAAUAGAGGUAAAAGUUACUUGUCAAUAUGAUAAUGACGGCUAUUCCAUUUUAAUUUUAGAUAGGUUCAUCAUAUCAGAGCAUGUUCAUUUUGGAUCAGAUCUUUUCACCAUUCUGGACAGCAACAUUUUAUUAAAAGAUCAUGAAAAAAUUUAAUACGUUUUCUAUGUGCUAGUCAUCUAAAUAUAAAAAACCCUGAUUCAAUGUUGGUUGGGGCUGCAUUGAUCUUUAGGGAAUUAAACUAAUUAGUUCUUUGCAAGAACUCGAGAAACUGAAAAGAUGAAAAUCAACAAUUUAUUUGCCAAUUCUGUGCUAUAUUGGUCCAUUUCUAAUAUUUCAUUUUAGUUUUUUAAAGCAAUUGCUUUUAUGCCAUCGCGUAUAACCAUCUUUGUGACCCAGAUCAGAGACUCCGCCCAGAUCAAGCCAUAGUAUUUUGUUAAACAGGCUCCUGGUCAGUCAUUCUUUAACACCUAUGUAUGUUUUCUAAUGCAAUACAUAGCUUGAAACUUUAAAAAAAAGUUAGUGAAUUUAAGAAGUUUCAGAAUAUGUUCUUGAAGAUGUAUUUUUGUAUUUAAAGGGUCAACCGUUUGACUAUCAAAUAACAUAGAAGUACGAGUGAAAAAAAGUACAUUUUUAUAAAUGCGAUUCCGUUUUCCGCCGUUCGUACGAUGUUUCAACAAAAUAUGGAUUCAUUUCAGUUGUUGAUUUAGUAUUGAAAAUUUAACUGAAUUAUCUCCUAAUAAAUACGGUUUUUUAUGUUUAAUUUGUGUUUCUUUAAGAGGUCAGGUGC